Molecule: ribosomal RNA, 480 nt
Filed under: Fusarium sp. Kashgar15
Lineage: Eukaryota; Fungi; Ascomycota; Sordariomycetes; Hypocreales; Nectriaceae
Description: eukaryotic LSU rRNA
Rfam family: 5.8S ribosomal RNA (bases 124-277)
Source: RNAcentral
UGUGACAUACCAAUUGUUGCCUCGGCGGAUCAGCCCGCUCCCGGUAAAACGGGACGGCCCGCCAGAGGACCCCUAAACUCUGUUUCUAUAUGUAACUUCUGAGUAAAACCAUAAAUAAAUCAAAACUUUCAACAACGGAUCUCUUGGUUCUGGCAUCGAUGAAGAACGCAGCAAAAUGCGAUAAGUAAUGUGAAUUGCAGAAUUCAGUGAAUCAUCGAAUCUUUGAACGCACAUUGCGCCCGCCAGUAUUCUGGCGGGCAUGCCUGUUCGAGCGUCAUUUCAACCCUCAAGCCCAGCUUGGUGUUGGGACUCGCGAGUCAAAUCGCGUUCCCCAAAUUGAUUGGCGGUCACGUCGAGCUUCCAUAGCGUAGUAGUAAAACCCUCGUUACUGGUAAUCGUCGCGGCCACGCCGUUAAACCCCAACUUCUGAAUGUUGACCUCGGAUCAGGUAGGAAUACCCGCUGAACUUAAGCAUAUCAU